RNAcentral lists this long non-coding RNA (737 nucleotides) under Homo sapiens (human). RNAcentral describes it as "HSALNT0180514". Lineage: Eukaryota; Metazoa; Chordata; Mammalia; Primates; Hominidae. The record is from RNAcentral.
CAGCAUAAUGUUGUUUGACUGAUACAUGAAAUCUCCAUAUGAUUUUGAGGUGGUGAAAGUUCUAUUCCUGAUGGCCCCAAAUUCCUGCCCUAUCACCUGUUCUUCCUCUACGCCACACUUGCGCCUUCAAAUUCCAAAGAAGGGACUUACAGAUAAGGAAGCUGAAGCUUUGAGAAUUUAAUUUGCUCAAGGGGAGGCCAGGACAAGAAAUAAUGAAGAGUCCGAUGUGGCAGGAAUGUAGGAAACAAGUCAAUGAUGGAAGAUAAAUAUGGAGACGUGAUGAAGGCAAAAUUCUGAAGGGUGAAGAAUGAAAUGUAGCAAUUGCCUUGGCCCUUAUAUGGGGGCUGGAAAAUGAAAACCACUGAAGGCUGAAACAGGCCAGGGAAGGAAAGGAACCAAAAGCAGGAUGCGCUGCAGGCUGACCAGCUGUUACAGGGAAGAUUAGAAGAUCAGAUCAAGUGCUCAGUUGGUUCUUCCUCCCUGUGUCCCCCAAACCAUCCAGGAGCAGGGGCUUGAAAGAUUUACAACACUUUACACUACUUCAACAGCUAUUUUAGUCCUUAGAUUUUAUUGCCCCAACCAUGGUCUCCUUGGGAACAGACUGAAUCUGGAUCCAGAAGUGGCUGCUGAGGGAGAAGGUAGACAAGGUAGACCAAGAGCAACUAAGUUACGAAAGCAUUUCAAGGAUGGAGUGAUCAACUGGACCAAAUGACACUGAGAGAUUAAGAAAAGAUGUA